CAUGGUUGCAAAAAGACACAAAACACUUCAAAAUACAUAAAGUCACAUUUACUACACAAAACACAGACAUGUAACAUAUCCCCAGAUAGCUCAGGUCUGAGCGCACAUUAUUAAGUGAAUGGCGCUCAGACCACACGAAUACAGUUUAAUCGCCAUGGAGCCAAAGUCUUUACAGUCAGUUUCAUACAAAUGGGCUCCAUGGGAUUCCUAUCUGGGGUAUAACACAUUCAAACAAAUC
Molecule: non-coding RNA, 238 nt
Organism: Pelobates cultripes (western spadefoot toad)
Lineage: Eukaryota; Metazoa; Chordata; Amphibia; Anura; Pelobatidae
Source: the annotation of a GenBank genome assembly